GCAGGCUGAAAUUCGCCUGCAUGAAGCCGGAAUUGCUAGUAAUGGCAGGUCAGCAUACUGCCGUGAAUACGUUCCCGGGCCUUGUACACACCGCCCGUCACACCAUGAGAGUUGGGGAUACCCAAAGCCCGUGAGCCAACUGUAAAGAGGCAGCGGUCUAAGGUAGAAUCAAUGAUUGGGGUGAAGUCGUAACAAGGUAGC
Molecule: ribosomal RNA, 201 nt
Filed under: uncultured bacterium
Lineage: Bacteria
Description: partial 16S ribosomal RNA
Rfam family: Bacterial small subunit ribosomal RNA
Source: RNAcentral